GAAUGUGCUUUUCUUUAUUUUAAAGGAUGAGGAUUAUGGAUUCUGCAAGGUGACUUCCCUGGAACGCCCUUUUCCAAAAAAUACCUCUUUCAAUAUGCCAAGAAAUCCUUUUGCUCUUUUAUGGAACUUUGUCCAAAGUUUACUGAGGUCUGUCCAUGAAUUUCCCAUUGAUUUCCCUUACCAGAUUUCUGAAAGAAACACUGCAGAGAUGCUCCUUCCCCCUUACCACUGUCCAUGAACUUUGCAAACGCCUCCAUGAAGUAAGGUUCUCAAUCUCACGUGAAAGCAAUUCUUUGAGUUCAUGAUUCCUCAUGAAGACAGAACUUUGGGUGCCAAAGUUACCUGUCCAUGGCUGGAGCUCCCAGAGGCACACAAGUAUCCCACAGCCAGUUUUAGGAGGUGCCUGCAGUGCUACACCCCUAGAAGCAGCCCUGGACAGCCAUUGCGGCUGCUCCCUGGAGGAUGCAGCUCUCUGGGAGCAAGUGCUUGUAGAAGCAAACCAUCAUCUCCCUCCUCCCUAUCACCUCCCUCCUUCCCAUCACCUCCCCUGGGCCAGAGUAACGCCAAACUGAGCUGGCUCUGCUCCCUGAGGCUCUGCACGGGACUAUGUGAUAACCUUACUGGUUGGUUCCUACCGGUGCUCCCACUUGUGCAUGUCAUUUAUCCAUUUGGAAAGGAAACGCUGUAGAGGAACCAGAUUAAAGGAGGAAACCACUUAGUGGAAAGGCAGAGAACAGUUUCACAGUACCAAGUGGGCUGCGUAGGACUCGUAAAUACCAAUAACCACCAGUGGGGACACUCUCCUGCUGUCGCCGAGUUGCAUUUAAAUAGAGUUCAAAUCUCGAGGUUUUCUUUAGAAGAGGAGAAGCACAGUGUGCUUAGCCUGGUCUGUAGCUCGCUCUAGGUGUCUCAGGUUCCACAUACUUUGCUGUUCAGCACUUCUGUCUGACGAUGCUUUGGUAGCACUUUCAAACCCGUCCCCAGUUCUUCCUCUUAGAAGCUUUUGGUCUGGUUUUCUUACGCCGCACAGUGAAAUACUGACUGGUGCAAUGACUUGCUUUGAGGGUCUGUCUUGGAUUUGUUUUUUGCCCUGAGAAGUUGCUUGAUUCUGUAGACGUUGUCAUUCACCUGGGUGUUGAUCUCCAUGAGAUCUUUCAGCAGAAGAUGCAGUCGCUACUGUCAGCUGGGUUUUCAUUUUUGGUUCUGUUUGGGUUUUCUUACUUGAAACUGUGACUUUCCUUGUUGAACUAGAUUGAUCUGUAGAACUAUUCUAAUGGGUUUACAGGCAGGCAGGACAGUGUGAAGCUUCAGGGAGAGAGAUGCAGUGCGUGGGGCUUGUCCUUCCCUCAGCAGUGGGGCUGGGAGCUGAGGUCUGGCACUGGGUUUGCCAGCGGCUCCUGCAUGAUCUAGAAUGUUUUCAGCAGGAUCCUCACAAUGGGUUGCACAAACCCGCUGCAGCACCCUUAACAGCCCCUGGGCCCUACCGCUCAUGACCUGGCUGGGCUGUGGCGUGGUUUCUGUCUGUGCUCCCUGCAGCCACGUGUGCGUGGUGUGCACCUUUCAGCCCUGAGCUGUGCCAGGUUGUCUCAUGGUGGUGCUGGGGCUGACCGGUGGUUGUGUUAAACUUCAGAGGUGUUUGCACUUCCAGCAGUGGGUGAAGGUGUUCCUGUAUAUAUACUGCAAAACGUUUUGUGCUUAUAAGUGACACACACACAUAUAUACAUAUAUAAAAGGGAUUUUAUAUAUAUAUAAUAUAUAUAUAAAAAAAAGAAAGGAUCCUUAACUGACACUAACAGUAUUGGCCAGUGCAUUUUCCUUUCUGAUCCCCACCGUUAUACACAUAACUUCUAUAGGACUCAAAAGUGACUUUGCACAGGGAGCAGAAGGGGCUCAGGAAUGUGGUUGGGGGGCACCAGGGAAGCCCCCAGAUGUGUUGGGGGGUCUCUCCUGUUGUGGGGAGCUGCUCCCCUCCUUGCCAGGGUUUCAGUCCCCCCUGCUCCUGCUGCAGCCUGGCUGUGCUUGGCCUGGGCCAGUUCAUGAGCCUGGUGAGAGGCAGAGGCAGGUUGGGUCUGGGUCCAUACCCACGGUGCUGGUGCUGCAGGCAGGGGGAACCUGGAUCCCCAUCACCAGCAUCUCCUGUGUGAGGCCGGGGACUGGUCUGAGUUGCUGCUCUGGCUGGGCUUUAUUCAGGAAAGCUCUUGGCACGUACUUGCACCCUCUUGAUACCCCACAGAGCCAAGCACAGGAUUACACUUAAGCACAACAUGAAAGUGCUUUUUUUGUGAGCAAAAGAGGGGAUCUGAAGCACAAACUCAGUUUCUUUCCAGAGCUUUGAGGGUCUUCAGGAGUGGCAGGGGAAGGGGCCGGGAUACGCGCUGGCAUGGAUGGGCUUGUUGACCGGGGCUGAGGUGUCUGGGCUGUCUCUGGUUUGGCUGCAGGAGGUGCUGAGCAUCGAUAACUGCUUUAAACCACCGUCAGGUCAGAGCUCAGCACCUCGCGGGUCGCACCUCGUGCUCAUGUUGCUUUGCUGCUCACUGGAGCUGGCCGGGUCCGUCAUUCCCUGUCCCAGAGCAUGCUUGCAUUAUGUUUUAACGAAUGUAGCACUGCGUAUAUCCUGCAAAGGGAAAUGCUGGAUUUAAAUCGUUAGAAUGUGAAGAGAGUUUAUAGAGUGAAAAUAUAUCUUGAAGAAAUGUAUCUGACAGAGUUUAUUUUUUAUGUAGAGAGGCGGUGCUUUGUAGUUCCUGGUGGCCUAUGUCUGUUGUAAAUAAUGUACAUUUAAUUUAUUGCUAUGGUAGCAGACUGUAUUUGUUAUGUAUAAAACUAAAGGUUCACAAAUGUAUAUUUUGUUGCUUAAAUGUGUCUUUGCAAAAUUCACAAUAAAUAACAUAUUUUGUGU
Molecule: long non-coding RNA, 2896 nt
Organism: Strigops habroptila (Kakapo)
Lineage: Eukaryota; Metazoa; Chordata; Aves; Psittaciformes; Psittacidae
Source: Ensembl